This 573-nucleotide long non-coding RNA is filed under the name Macaca nemestrina (pig-tailed macaque). Its description in RNAcentral is "lncRNA (ENSMNEG00000045743.1)". Lineage: Eukaryota; Metazoa; Chordata; Mammalia; Primates; Cercopithecidae. The record is from RNAcentral.
GGAUUACACUGCAUUCCAAAUAAUGGUUGUUUCUUUGUGAUUUGAAUGGGGUAUGGGAAUCAAACCUGCAGUAUAGAACAGUAGGGAUUUAAACUUGAACUGGAAUUUAUUUUUCUUUAAGAAAAAGGAGUACAAAACGUCAACAACUGUAAGUUUAAAAUGUCAGAUUCACAAUGUUUAUUAUUUGUGAUUCUCUAGAUUUUUAAUUGCUUAAAAAAGAAUGACUAUAAAUUCUAAUACCUGGCACGUACUGAAACCCUAAUUUCUAUCUGGUCAUGAAAAGUGAUGCUGAGGAGUCAGGAAGGAAAACAUUCAAAACGUUUCAUUGAGGGUGGAAGAAAUUAACUGUUCAGUUCUAGAGAAUAAGAACAAGACUGAAUGGAUUUUCCCUUUCUGCUCUUAAAUGAUUUCUUUCUGAUUUUUAGGAGAAACUUUCUUUCUUCUAACGGUGUGCACUUACUCGUAGUCGGAAGCCAGACUCAGCUGGCUUCCCUAGAGAGGAAGCUCAAAAGCGCUUCGGUGUAUCUCACCAGGAAGAAACAAAAAUAAUGAAGGAUGAAAAUUUGGAGAGGC